AAUCGAGCUUCCCCAAUUUGAGCUUUUAUUAGUUUGCAGUAAACCUGAAGCAGUUGGAAAGUACUCAAUCUGCGGACAGAACUGCAAUUGGAAAGUAGUAUUAUCUCCAUCUCUCUGCCAGUGCCAAAUCCUCUUGAAUGGGUUGUGGCUGGUUCUUUUCAAUUUAUGUGCCCUCUGAAGGGCGGUUGUUUAUCCUUAGCUAGACGACAUUUGGCACCCAAGUCUUCAGCUCGCCACCGACGACCCUCAGUUCGUCACCGUGUCAGCGUUUGUCUCUUCGCGACCUCGGUAUGGCCCAGCUGCUUGCCUACUACGAACGGCCAAGCCCCAACUUGUCGCGCCUCCUCAGUUGUCGCGCCGCAGCGUCACCGACUUCGGUGUAUUUUGCAAUGACAGGGUGGGAGUGUUCUCUCCCCGCCAACCCACCGUCUCCCACUCUUAGUCCUGCGGCAUCCCCGGCACCUCCGACACCUCCGCCGCCUCGCCGACCCCGCCGUCGGUCUCGCCGCUCCCGGCAGCGUCGCAGAGUCCGCCGUGCGGCACAGCACCCCGCAGUCCUCGCACCGUAUAUGUCAGAUGAACCUUCGUCCCCGGCACCUGCCUCGCCUGCACAGCUGCUGGCUACGGCGCCGGCCACUCUGGCGGAUACGUCGGAUGUGAUUCCGUUGAUUGAUACUUACUGCUUUAACGAUCUAGCGUGAGCUGUUUCCUCACGCAUUUGUACUUUUGUUUGUAUACUCUCU
This is a long non-coding RNA of Sycon ciliatum, 743 nucleotides long. RefSeq lists it as uncharacterized. The record is from RefSeq and is a predicted model, not a curated record. Lineage: Eukaryota; Metazoa; Porifera; Calcarea; Leucosolenida; Sycettidae. The transcript has 3 exons.